Molecule: ribosomal RNA, 254 nt
Filed under: uncultured bacterium
Lineage: Bacteria
Description: partial 16S ribosomal RNA
Rfam family: Bacterial small subunit ribosomal RNA
Source: RNAcentral
UACGGGGGGAGCAAGCGUUGUUCGGAUUUACUGGGCGUAAAGGGCGCGUAGGCGGUCGUGACAAGUCACUUGUGAAAUCUCCGGGCUUAACUCGGAACGGUCAAGUGAUACUGUCGGACUAGAGUACAGAAGGGGCAACUGGAAUUCUCGGUGUAGCGGUGAAAUGCGUAGAUAUCGAGAGGAACACCUGCGGCGAAGGCGGGUUGCUGGGCUGACACUGACGCUGAUGUGCGAAAGCUAGGGGAGCGAACGGG